CCUACGGGGGGCUGCAGUGGGGAAUAUUGGACAAUGGGGGAACCCUGAUCCAGCCAUGCCGCGUGUGUGAAGAAGGCCCUCGGGUUGUAAAGCACUUUCAGUGAGGAAGAACGCCUGGUGGUUAAUACCCAUCAGGAAAGACAUCACUCACAGAAGAAGCACCGGCUAACUCCGUGCCAGCAGCCGCGGUAAUACGGAGGGUGCGAGCGUUAAUCGGAAUUACUGGGCGUAAAGCGCGCGUAGGUGGCUUGAUAAGCCGGUUGUGAAAGCCCCGGGCUCAACCUGGGAACGGCAUCCGGAACUGUCAAGCUAGAGUGCAGGAGAGGAAGGUAGAAUUCCCGGUGUAGCGGUGAAAUGCGUAGAGAUCGGGAGGAAUACCAGUGGCGAAGGCGGCCUUCUGGACUGACACUGACACUGAGGUGCGAAAGCGUGGGUAGCAAACAGGAUUAGAUACCCCAGUAGUC
Molecule: ribosomal RNA, 464 nt
Filed under: Vreelandella stevensii
Lineage: Bacteria; Pseudomonadati; Pseudomonadota; Gammaproteobacteria; Oceanospirillales; Halomonadaceae
Description: partial 16S ribosomal RNA
Rfam family: Bacterial small subunit ribosomal RNA
Source: RNAcentral